AUACGUAGGGGGCGAGCGUUGUCCGGAAUGAUUGGGCGUAAAGGGCGCGUAGGCGGCGCGGUAAGUCUGGAGUGAAAGUCCUGCUUUCAAGGUGGGAAUUGCUUUGGAUACUGCCGCGCUUGAGUGCAGGAGAGGUUAUCGGAAUUCCCGGUGUAGCGGUGAAAUGCGUAGAGAUCGGGAGGAACACCAGUGGCGAAGGCGGGUAACUGGACUGCAACUGACGCUGAGGCGCGAAAGUGUGGGGAGCAAACAGGAUUAGAUACCCUGGUAGUCCACGCCGUAAACGAUGAGUGCUAAGUGUUGGAGGGUUUCCGCCCUUCAGUGCUGCAGCUAACGCAUUAAGCACUCCGCCUGGGGAGUACGACCGCAAGGUUGAAACUUAAAGGAAUUGACGGGG
Molecule: ribosomal RNA, 397 nt
Filed under: uncultured bacterium
Lineage: Bacteria
Description: partial 16S ribosomal RNA
Rfam family: Bacterial small subunit ribosomal RNA
Source: RNAcentral